This is a long non-coding RNA of Haliotis rufescens (red abalone), 105 nucleotides long. RefSeq lists it as uncharacterized. The transcript is spliced from 3 exons. NCBI's taxonomy places the organism in Eukaryota, Metazoa, Mollusca, Gastropoda, Lepetellida, Haliotidae. The record is from RefSeq and is a predicted model, not a curated record.
AGAUAGACAGGUAGGUGGUAGGUGGAUCAGAUGGACAGGUAGGUGGAUCAGAUGGACAGGUAGGUGGGUCAGAUGGACAGGUAGGUGGGUCAGAUGGACAGGUAG